RNAcentral lists this ribosomal RNA (492 nucleotides) under uncultured bacterium. RNAcentral describes it as "partial 16S ribosomal RNA". It matches the Rfam family "Bacterial small subunit ribosomal RNA", at positions 29 to 507 of the family's 1533-position model. The record is from RNAcentral.
AGUGAACGCUGGCGGUAGGCCUAACACAUGCAAGUCGAACGGCAGCACAGUAAGAGCUUGCUCUUACGGGUGGCGAGUGGCGGACGGGUGAGGAAUACAUCGGAAUCUACUUUUUCGUGGGGGAUAACGUAGGGAAACUUACGCUAAUACCGCAUACGACCUACGGGUGAAAGCAGGGGAUCUUCGGACCUUGCGCGAUUGAAUGAGCCGAUGUCGGAUUAGCUAGUUGGCGGGGUAAAGGCCCACCAAGGCGACGAUCCGUAGCUGGUCUGAGAGGAUGAUCAGCCACACUGGAACUGAGACACGGUCCAGACUCCUACGGGAGGCAGCAGUGGGGAAUAUUGGACAAUGGGCGCAAGACUGAUCCAGCCAUACCGCGUGGGUGAAGAAGGACUUCGGGUUGUAAAGCCCUUUUGUUGGGAAAGAAAAGCAGCAGGUUAAUACCCCGCUGUUCUGACGGUACCCAAAGAAUAAGCACCGGCUAACUUCGUG